This 2881-nucleotide ribosomal RNA is filed under the name Thiohalospira halophila. Its description in RNAcentral is "bacterial LSU rRNA". It matches the Rfam family "Bacterial large subunit ribosomal RNA". The record is from RNAcentral. RNAcentral also lists the same sequence under 1 other name. Lineage: Bacteria; Pseudomonadati; Pseudomonadota; Gammaproteobacteria; Thiohalospirales; Thiohalospiraceae.
CAAGCGAGUAAGCGCAUACGGUGGAUGCCUAGGCGGCAGAAGGCGAUGAAGGACGUUGUAGCCUGCGAUAAGCCUCGGGGAGUUGGCAAACGAGCUUUGAUCCGAGGAUUUCCGAAUGGGGAAACCCGGCCACCUUCGGGUGGUCAUCGUGCACUGAAUACAUAGGUGCAUGAGGCGAACCCGGGGAACUGAAACAUCUAAGUACCCGGAGGAAAAGAAAUCAACCGAGAUUCCCUUAGUAGUGGCGAGCGAACGGGGAACAGCCCUUAAGCUAUGCUUGCGUUAGUGGAACGGUCUGGGAAGUCCGACCAUAGAGGGUGAUAGUCCCGUACGCGAAAACGUUUGCAUAGUGAAAUCGAGUAGGCCGGGACACGUGUUACCCUGGCUGAAGACGGGGGGCCCACCCUCCAAGGCUAAAUACUCUCUGCCGACCGAUAGUGAACCAGUACCGUGAGGGAAAGUUGAAAAGAACCCCGGUGAGGGGAGUGAAAUAGAACCUGAAACCGUAUGCGUACAAGCAGUCGGAGCGGCUUCGGCCGUGACGGCGUACCUUUUGUAUAAUGGGUCAGCGACUUAUUCCUCAGUGGCAAGGUUAACCGUUUAGGGGAGCCACAGGGAAACCGAGUCUGAACAGGGCGUUCAGUCGCUGGGGAUAGACCCGAAACCGGGCGAGCUAUCCAUGGCCAGGGUGAAGGUGGGGUAAUUCCCACUGGAGGCCCGAACCCACUAACGUUGAAAAGUUAGGGGAUGAGUUGUGGAUAGGAGUGAAAGGCUAAUCAAGCCCGGAGAUAUCUGGUUCUCCCCGAAAGCUAUUUAGGUAGCGCCUCGUGUCUCACUCCCGGGGGUAGAGCACUGUAUCGGCUAGGGGGCUCCCAGGAGCUUACCAAACCGUAGCAAACUCCGAAUACCGGGAAGUGCAAUCACGGGAGACACACAGCGGGUGCUAAGGUCCGUUGUGAAGAGGGAAACAGCCCAGACCGCCAGCUAAGGUCCCCAAAUCACGGCUCAGUGGUUAACGAUGUGGGAAGGCAGAGACAGUCAGGAGGUUGGCUUAGAAGCAGCCAUCCUUUAAAGAAAGCGUAAUAGCUCACUGAUCGAGUCGGCCUGCGCGGAAGAUAUAUCGGGGCUAAGCCGUGUACCGAAGCUGCGGACGCACUAUGUGCGUGGUAGGGGAGCGUUCCGUACGCCGACGAAGGUGUGUCGAAAGGCAUGCUGGAGGUAUCGGAAGUGAGAAUGCUGACAUGAGUAACGAUAAAGGAGGUGAAAACCCUCCUCGCCGAAAGCCCAAGGGUUCCUGCGCAACGCCAAUCGGCGCAGGGUGAGUCGGCCCCUAAGGCGAGGCCGAAAGGCGUAGCCGAUGGGAAACGGGUUAAUAUUCCCGUACCUCGCAUUACUGCGACGGGGUGACGGAGAAGGCUAGCUCAUCCGGGUAACGGUUAUCCCGGUUCAAGCAUGUAGGCGGUGGCCCUAGGUAAAUCCGGGGCCGCAACGCUGAGACGUGAUGACGAGUCUCCAAGGAGGCGAAGUGAGUGAUGCCCUGCUCCCAGGAAAAGCCUCUAAGCUUCAGGUAAUGCGGGACCGUACCCCAAACCAACACAGGUGGGCAGGGUGAGAAUCCCAAGGCGUUGAGAUAACUCGGGUGAAGGAACUCGGCAAAAUGGCACCGUAACUUUGGGAGAAGGUGCGCCUCUUGUACGUGAAGGCCCUUGCGGCCGGAGCGGAAGGAGGCCGCAGUGACCAGGGGGCUGCGACUGUUUACUAAAAACACAGCACUCUGCUAACUCGUAAGAGGACGUAUAGGGUGUGACGCCUGCCCGGUGCCGGAAGGUUAAGUGAUGGGGUUAGCUUCGGCGAAGCCCUUGAUCGAAGCCCCGGUAAACGGCGGCCGUAACUAUAACGGUCCUAAGGUAGCGAAAUUCCUUGUCGGGUAAGUUCCGACCUGCACGAAUGGCGUAACGAUGGCCCCACUGUCUCCACCCGAGACUCAGUGAAAUUGAACUCGCUGUGAAGAUGCAGUGUACCCGCGGCAAGACGGAAAGACCCCGUGAACCUUUACUACAGCUUCGCGCUGAACUUUGAGCAUGCUUGUGUAGGAUAGGUGGGAGGCUUGGAUGCCGGGACGCCAGUCCCGGCGGAGCCAACCUUGAAAUACCACCCUGGCAUGUUUGGGGUUCUAACCUUGGGCCGUCAUCCGGUUCAGGGACAGCGCGUGGUAGGUAGUUUGACUGGGGCGGUCUCCUCCCAAAGAGUAACGGAGGAGCGCGAAGGUACCCUCAGCACGGUCGGAAAUCGUGCAACGAGUGCAAAGGCAUAAGGGUGCUUAACUGCGAGACAUACACGUCGAGCAGGUGCGAAAGCAGGUCUUAGUGAUCCGGUGGUCCUGAGUGGAAGGGCCAUCGCUCAACGGAUAAAAGGUACUCCGGGGAUAACAGGCUGAUUCCGCCCAAGAGUUCACAUCGACGGCGGAGUUUGGCACCUCGAUGUCGGCUCAUCACAUCCUGGGGCUGUAGUCGGUCCCAAGGGUACGGCUGUUCGCCGUUUAAAGUGGUACGCGAGCUGGGUUUAGAACGUCGUGAGACAGUUCGGUCCCUAUCUGCCGUGGGCGUUGGAGACUUGAGAGGAUCUGCUCCUAGUACGAGAGGACCGGAGUGGACGUACCUCUGGUGUUCCGGUUGUCACGCCAGUGGCACAGCCGGGUAGCUACGUACGGAAGGAAUAACCGCUGAAAGCAUCUAAGCGGGAAGUCCACCUCAAGAUUAGGUCUCCCUGGACCCUCGAGGUCCCUGAAGGGCCGUCCGAGACUAGGACGUUGAUAGGCUGGGUGUGGAAGCGCAGUAAUGCGUGAAGCUAACCAGUACUAAUUGCCCGUGCGGCUUGACCA